Lolium perenne is the source of this 6867-nucleotide non-coding RNA. NCBI's taxonomy places the organism in Eukaryota, Viridiplantae, Streptophyta, Magnoliopsida, Poales, Poaceae. The record is from RefSeq and is a predicted model, not a curated record.
GCUGCCCAAGAUUGGUGCCUCCUGUUCGUUGCUCGCCAUGGUGGCGAGAACAGCUUGGAGCUCCUGGUCUCCGACAGCCAGCUCCCUGAUCUGCGCCAGGGGAGUCGUGAAGCUGCUCCCGGGAGUUUUCCCACGGCGGUCCUUGGUCUGCAGCCGUCAAAACUGGUCGUCGGGCAACCACUCUCUCCUCCUUCGUCGGCGAUGGUGUACCCCGGCCGAUGAAUGUUGGUCUACAACAACCUCCAAGCCAAGAUGCCACUGCAGAGGCCCUCCUACUCCAGCACAGAAUGCUCCUGGCUCAUCACCUCAAGUGGUCUUGUCCCCGGCGGUGAGGCGCUCGUCUGUAUUGUGAGUUAUGCUAGCGGUGCCUGCGGCGGAGGACUGGUUUGUAAUUUCUCCGUGCUUUGUAGUUCUUCUUGUAAUUGUGACUCUUGAUACAAGCUUUUAGGUCCCUCUGUUAAACUUUUUUUUACUACCAUCCGGAGUCGGACCCACGUCAUCACACGUGUAUGGCGUGACCGUCGUUAACGGAUCAGAACGCCCUCGUGCCAGGGAUGGGAUAAGAUAACGAAGGCAGCAACCGCCUCGCGCUCACCUCCCACCGCUCCCCUUUCCCACCAAAACCCGCGUGGCCCUACGCCGUCGGGUCGUCUCCGACCACGACUUGGAAAAGGUCGAACGCCACCGCCGCACCGACUCCUUCCCGGAAACCCAUCGCUUCAACCGACCUCCGCGGCCUCUAUAAAUACCACCCGAUCCCCCGUGGGUUUCCUCGUACCGGAGGAUCUGAUGAUUUCUCCUCUCUUCUUCUUUCGUGCCUCUCCUCCGGUAAGCCCGCAGGUAUGGUCUGUCGGUUCGGAUCUCGCGUUCCAAAUGUCGAUGCUGUUUGUUUGAUGAUGAUCUUCCAGGCGAGCGUAUCCAUUUGGUUUCUGGUGCUUAGUCCGUUGAGAUCUAGGUCUUGGUGAUUCCCGCUCUGCUCCGUAGCGUCGGUAUUGUGUUCUGAACUAUGCUGCUUCGAUUUAGGGUCGUGGCUAAUCUAUCAUCAUGUGCUGAUUGCUGGGUGAUUCAGGGUCGUGGCUUAUAUAUUGUAUCCUAAUUGCUCGCUUUUUUACAUUUGGCCAGAAUAAUGAUUCGUAUAGUUGUGAUCAGUCCGUUUGCCUUUCGUUCCUGUUCGGUAUGGUGGAUUGCCCAGGUCGGUUUAGUUGAUUCCGUGGAGGUGUUUGACAUGAUCGGAAUUGAAGGUUGUGGUGUGAAUUGGUCUGUUACUUUCAAGGUUCAUUCAAUAGUGUUCUGCUUUCCGAUUGGAAGAAUAGUGGGCUGGAGACAGUUCGGAUAGUGGAAACUCUGCAUAUUUUGCUUUUGAUCCUGUUCCUUCAUGACUUGGUCUGCCUGGAAUUAUUAGACAUAGUUGGAAAAGCUUUGCUAGAUCUGCCUGGAAUUGCUUGCUUUCUCGGAGCUAUAUAUUUGAGAUUAUCUGAUGGAGGUUGUGCUAUAUCAUGGGCCUUCUUAUAGAAGGUAGAUGCCAGGAUGGUGUAGUUUGGAAAUGUUUUUUGUUCAACUGUGUGGACAUGCUCAUGGCGAGGUGAUUCUUCCGUGGUGACAUUUGGUUCUGUUUGGUCAGUUUAAUUUCUAGGAGGAUUAAUUAAUUUUGUUUGGAAAGUACUUUAAUGGUAGUAGAGGUAUCUCUUUGAAGUUGUCCGUUUGAAGGUUCUUUGAAGUGCAGUAAGAUGUCAAGUAUUCUUUGAGUUGUGUCUGCUGGACUAAGUUUACUGCUGCUGUUUUUCACUUGGGUGUUACCGUCAAGGUCUUGUUCAGAUUCAUUGCAAAAAAAGGUGUUAUUCAGAUGUUGCUACUGCCUAGAAUCUUCUCAUCUUUUAUGAUGAUAUGGCCUUCGCUAGUAUGGUUGGAUAUCUACUUCAUGGUGGUUUCUGCUGGUUUGCGUGUUUAAUGAAGUGUUGGAUUAGCUAAGUAGAUUUAGCUUGUUAAUUUGAACCUGGCAUUGUAAUAUAUGUUGUACAUAACUGUUGAUCACACAUCUUGUCUGAUGUUGGAAAUUGUAACUGUUUAAUGAUAUAUAUGGAUGACCCUGAUUUAGUUUUCUAUUGUUAGAGUUGUUACCAUGGAUGGCUUGUUUUUUUACUUGGGUGCAUUGAAGUUGUAAUAAAAUAUAGCUUGAUCUUGUUUGGCCUGCAUGUAUUAAACCUAAUUUUGUAUCAAAUUCAAUAUGAAGUUCCAUCUUUGUGUGCAAGUUCAUCUAUUAGAUUGUUGGGAGCAUCACGUAUAUAUGUGCGUGUCGAGCAUUUCAUUCAGAUUUGAUCUUGUCCUUUAAUCUUUAACAAGUUAAUUGAUAAAUAAGUUGCAAUGCUCAUCAUAUCUCAUAUAUAUAUUGCUGUUUAGCCAUUUUAGGAUUCAUUUGUUGAUCCAACAUCUAAAUUUCUAUAACAUGUUCCUUGGCUAUGCAUUUAUUCUUGGCUCUGUAUUGUUCGUUAUGUUUUAUCCUAUCACCAUUUUAGUCACAUGGUUCAGUAUUAAGCUUGGAUUUAUGUGAGAUAAGUAGGUGUUGCUCUUUCUGUAGUCUAGUUUCUGAACCUGAUCAAUGAAUUAAGUUGUUUAUGUGCUUCUGAACUUAAAAUUAUUUUAUUACUGUUAAAUGAUAUAUAUACAUGACCUCAUUUUGAACCUGGCCUUCACUGUGAGGGUUUGAAUUACUUCAUCAUGAUUUAAAUUCGGCUUCUGCUAGUUUGCGUGCUUAGCGCAGUGUCAGAUUAGCUAAUUAGCUCAUCGGAAUUAUAUACAACAUAUAAGCCUGAAAGAGUUGUUACCAUGGAUGGCUUGUUUACUUUUCUGCUCGGAUGCAUUGAAGUUGUAACUAAAUAUAGGUUGAUCCUUUAUUUGACUUGUUAAACCUAAUUCUUGUGACCCAAGAUCGACAUAAAUAUCCAGGUUCAUCGUUGUGCAGGGUUUAUCUAGUUGAUUGUUGGAAGCAUCGCUUUGUUGAGGAGUUUGCUGAUAUCAAGUUAAUAAUGAGCACAUUGAACUAAAUUUUAUGUACCUGUGCAUGGAGCUCUUCAUUCAGACUUCAAUGAUUAUGUCCUCUAUUCUUCUUGAACAAGUUAAUUAAUACCGUCUAACUUUCAUAUUAUGAUUCCUUGGGUACGCAUGUAGUCUUGGUUCUGUAUCCUUCUUCAGUUUAUGUAUUAUCCUAUCACCAUUUUAGUCACAUAGUUCAGUGUUAAGCUUAGGAUUAUGUGAGAUAAGUAGGUUUAAUUUAUGCAUCGUUCAUUUCUGUAGUAUAGUUUUUGAACCUGAUCAAUGACUUACGUUGUUCAGGUGCUUAUGGUACCUAAGAUUAUCUUGUAGCUUAAAUGAUUUAUAACAAUAUUAUCGUCUGAUUUGGAACUUCAUGCUGGCCUUGUACUAUGAAGAACAUAGUUCAGUAUCUUGCUUGGGGUAGAUCUUUAAGAUAUCUUCACGUGUGAUUUGGAACUAAUGUUGCACAUAAUUUUUUUUGUUACACAUCCUGUCUGAUGUUGCAUACUAUAAAUGUUAAAUCAUGUAGGGAUACUCCUUGUUUACUCUUGAAAGAGAUGUUACCAUUGAUGUGUAGAGUGCUUCCUUCUGUGAUCUUGUCCUCUUCUCUUAUUGAACAAAUUAAUUGAUAAAUUAAAUGCCGUGCUCUAUCUAUGUUGCUGUGUUCUUGAAGUCAUGCACAGAUUGCCUUCUAGCUGUCAUUGUCAUAUGGGUUGAUGUAUAUUUAUCCGGUGUUCUUUUUUUUCGCGAAAACGCAAAAGCAUUGCGUUCCGAUGCAUUGAUAGAAAAGAAGGUUAUAUGUACAAGUCCCCUAGAGGACACACCCCGCCAUACAACUCAACCCAAGAAAACUAGUCUAGGGGAGGAGCUGACGGACACCCCGGGCUCCCGCGUCCGCCCAUAGCCGCGCAUCGGACCUAAUGUCGUUGAAUAGGGAUGUCACCGAAGGCCGCGCAUUGUCGAAGACCGCCGCAUUUCGGUGUUUCCAAAUCCACCACGCCGUAAGCAUGAUAACCGACGAAGUUCCUUUGCGCAGUUGGCGGGGGGCGGUCCGCACAGCCUGCGACCACCACUCCGCGAAGUCACCCUCCACCGUGGGAGGACCUGAGGUGGAUCGGAUCCACGAGAGGACCUCAAACCACACCAUCCUGGAGAAAGAACACCCAGUGAGCAGGUGCGCCAUGGUCUCCACAGCCUGAUCGCACAGCGGGCAUGUAGGCGCAUGCGGUAAGCCCCGCCUCGCCAGCCUCUCACCCGUCCAGCAUCUGUCCAUGCAGGCCAGCCAUAUGAAGAACUUCACCCUUGGCGGCGCCCAAGAUUAUCCGGUGUUCUAAUUUACUAUAAAAAUGUUUCUUGGCUGGCUUUUUGGUUCAUGAGUGUAUAUCUGAAUCUAUUCCCGUUUUCAGUAUAGUAAGUAUUGGUUUAUUUGGAAUUUUAUAGUUCUGUUGGAUGGUCUGCAUCCCUUUUAUGGUUUCACAACGUGAUCAUUGAGUUAAGUUCAUGUGCUUAGGUACUUGUGUUUAUGUGUAUUCCUUAGUUCUUAAGUUUCAGUUCCUAUGCUGCACAACCUUAUUUCGUGAAUUUGGUGUCUCUAUUAUUUUAUUCAGCGACAAUUUUUCCAUGAACCUUUUUACGUGCUAAGUAGAAGUUAGUAUCCUAUCAUCUUAUUAAAUGUCUAUUGUUCAUGUGAAACUAUUGUUGAAGACAAUUUGGCUGACAUCACCUGAAUAAAAAAUGAUAAUAAAUAAUAGGGAUGCGACAACUUCACUCAUGCAGUCAUGCUUACCUUGUUUUGUUUGGUAUCUCAGUAUUUUCAAAACUAAAGUAUUCCAUUGCUUGGCUAAUAAAUAUCACUGUUUUAGAAAAAAAAAGAGGGCAAACCAUUUUCUCCAAUACUCCAAAAAACCCUAGUUUUAGACAUUUUGGUUUCAACACUGUUUCCGAAAAAAAGAGGGCAGACCUCUUUCGCCAAUACUCGAAAAAAAGAAGUUUUAGACACUUUGGUUUCAAAACCGCAAUAUUUGUUAUGGCUUAUGUCCGAACAUCUCAAAGUAUUUUAAACUAUAAACUAUAGUAUUAUGAAGAAACUUCAAAAUUUAUCGGGCUGCCAAACACACCCUUAGUUUCUCAAUAUCCCUUGGUUAUUUCUCAAAUAAUUGUAUCUGAAACCUGAUUACCUCAAAUGAUAUUUACUUGUAACUUGUAUGUUUAGAAUUUUCUUUCUGAUGUUGCUUGCCUUUCUCCCAUUGCUGUUUGAAAAUUGUAUUAAAAGCUUGUUAGUACCGUGUUUUCAGAUUGUUGUGCUAGUAAAAAUUAGCUUAUUCUCUUGCUUUUUCUCCAACAUUCUGUAUUAGCUUCAUCCAUUUGUUGUCUUCAUGUGAUGUUUGUUUCAGCUUUGUUUUGUAUCUAUGUUGCUCUCAUGAUCUUUUCAUCUUUGUUGUACAAUGUCUGAUUUAGCUUGCCUUUUGCCCCUUAUCUGUCUGAUAUUGUAAGCAUGUUACAUAAUUUGAUGACAGUGUUAUUAUAUACUCCCUUCGUUCCUUUCUAUAGUGCCUAUAGAUUUUUGGCAUUUGUUUCAGAAUAUAAGGUUGUAGCUUAGCUUUUUUCAAUUACCCCCUCCCGGCUCAGCUCCCAAAUUUGUUAUGGUAAGUUAGGAAGAUAUGGAUUUCCCAAAUUUUACGUUGAUCUCAAAUCGUUUAGCUAGGGGUCUUGUGUAAAAAAUACUCUUGCGCUAAUUUCCGUGCCAAAAAACUAUAGGCACUAUGAAUGUAAAGUGCUUCAUUCUCAAAAUCAAAAACCUUGGAUUGACUUUCGGCAUUCUGCUAUCUACUUCAACAACUAUGUCCCUAAUUCAUGUGAUGUCAUCGCAAGUUUUGGUUCCUACAAUAUUAUAUUUUUAUGGCUUUAUUCAGUGUGUUGAAAUCAUUUAUGUAUCUUGAUCAUUUUAUUUAAGUUCACAUUUAUCUUUUAGAUAGAUUAUGUUACAUACUAAGUAGAAAUUAAUAUUUGAUGAUCUUAUUCAAUGACUGUUGUUCACAACUUUGUAGCUAAUGUUAUGAGCUUUGCUAAGUACAAGUUGUAUGUUCUAUGCUUACAUUGUCUAAGAUAAGUAGUAGAAGUAUUUUUUUUUAUAAAAGGUAGAAGUUGUAUGUUCUAUGCUUGCGUUGUUUAAGACAAUGUUUUAGAUGUCCCCUGAAUAAUAAAUAAUAGAUAUGUGGCUACUGCCACUCAUGCUUAUUUUUAAUUUCUGAAUUUUGGUUGUUAUGCAGAUCAUUUUAGAUAGAACCUAACUUCUGCAGUUAAUAUUUACUUCUAACAUUUAUGUCUGCAUAUUUUCUUUCUGAUUUCUUGCUUUUUCUCAUUGCUGUUUGGUAUUUGCAUCACAAGCUUAUUGCGCACUAUAAUAUUUAUUUAGUGUUGGAGUAUUUUUCAGCCUCUUUUAGUAUGGUUAGUUGUUGCUAUUUAUUCUGUUACAUUUGUGUGUUAGAAUCAAGGUUAUUAAGAACUAUGCCCUUCUAGUUUUGAGUUUCUGUGUUGUUUUCCAUUAUCUUGUUUUAAAAUCUAUGUAGAUUUUCCUGUAAAUGUUCUCCUUUUUGUACUUUGUAUAUCUAAUAUUUGUAUGUACUGUCGUGGUUCCAAAUCUGUUACCUCGUAAUGUACCUAAUUUUUGUUACUCAAGUUUCCAUCUCAUAAUGUAUCAUUCUUGACGUAUGACUUUCUUUUUCCUAGGUACAUCUAGCUUUCACACCUGUGUAUGAAUUUUAUAUGCUUGCUUUUCCUGUUUCUUCUAACUGCCCUAAAGAUUUACUGAGACCAAUUGAGUUACAGUUCAUGUCC